GUUGAACGCUGGCGGCGUGCCUAAUACAUGCAAGUCGAGCGAACAGACGAGGAUCUUGCUCCUCUGACGUUAGCGGCGGACGGGUGAGUAACACGUGGAUAACCUACCUAUAAGACUGGGAUAACUUCGGGAAACCGGAUCUAAUACCGGAUAAUAUAUUGAACCGCAUGGUUCAAUAGUGAAAGACGGUUUUGCUGUCACUUAUAGAUGGAUCCGCGCCGCAUUAGCUAGUUGGUAAGGUAACGGCUUACCAAGGCAACGAUGCGUAGCCGACCUGAGAGGGUGAUCGGCCACACUGGAACUGAGACACGGUCCAGACUCCUACGGGAGGCAGCAGUAGGGAAUCUUCCGCAAUGGGCGAAAGCCUGACGGAGCAACGCCGCGUGAGUGAUGAAGGUCUUCGGAUCGUAAAACUCUGUUAUUAGGGAAGAACAAAUGUGGAAGUAAAUAUGCACGUAUUGACGGUACCUAAUCAGAAAGCAACGGCUAACUACGUG
RNAcentral lists this ribosomal RNA (497 nucleotides) under uncultured bacterium. Its description in RNAcentral is "partial 16S ribosomal RNA". It matches the Rfam family "Bacterial small subunit ribosomal RNA", at positions 28 to 507 of the family's 1533-position model. The record is from RNAcentral.